Molecule: long non-coding RNA, 383 nt
Filed under: Malus domestica (apple)
Lineage: Eukaryota; Viridiplantae; Streptophyta; Magnoliopsida; Rosales; Rosaceae
Description: long non-coding RNA (MDOM_LNC013148)
Source: RNAcentral
UAAGUUUGUGAUCUUCGCUAGAUUGCUCCGGUCAUUAGUGUGGAUAAGUAUGUAAAUGGAUAGAGACAGGAAGCAAACACAAGAUGUACGUGGUUCACCCAGAUUGGCUACGUUACGGAGUAAAGGAGUUCUCAUUAAUUGUGAAGGGUUUACACAGUAUAUAGGUUCAAGCUCUCAUUUAGUGAGUACAAGUGAAUGAUUUAGUACAAAUGACAUUAGGAAAUAUUGUGGAAGAAUGAUCUUGUAAUCACAAAACUUUUAAGUACCGAAGUGUGGUAUCGUCUUCACUUGCCUUAUCUGUCUCAUAGGUAGAUGUGACAUCUUCUUUGGAAGUACUCUUCCUCCCUCCAGGGGUGGUAUCUUUAACUGGUGGAGAUGCACAA